UGUGGCUCAGUGAUAGAGCACUUGCCUCACAUCUAUGAGGCCCUGAGUUCAAUCCUCAGCA
RNAcentral lists this transfer RNA (61 nucleotides) under Ictidomys tridecemlineatus (thirteen-lined ground squirrel). Its description in RNAcentral is "Spermophilus tridecemlineatus (thirteen-lined ground squirrel) tRNA". It matches the Rfam family "tRNA", at positions 6 to 65 of the family's 71-position model. From Rfam's summary of the family: Transfer RNA (tRNA) molecules are approximately 80 nucleotides in length. The record is from Rfam by way of RNAcentral. Lineage: Eukaryota; Metazoa; Chordata; Mammalia; Rodentia; Sciuridae.